UAGAAAACCAAUUAGGAUAUAUUCGUCAGG
Molecule: non-coding RNA, 30 nt
Filed under: Mus musculus (house mouse)
Lineage: Eukaryota; Metazoa; Chordata; Mammalia; Rodentia; Muridae
Source: RNAcentral